AGUGAACGCUGGCGGUAGGCCUAACACAUGCAAGUCGAACGGCAGCACAGUAAGAGCUUGCUCUUACGGGUGGCGAGUGGCGGACGGGUGAGGAAUACAUCGGAAUCUACUUUUUCGUGGGGGAUUACGUAGGGAAACUUACGCUAAUACCUCAUACGACCUACGGGUGAAAGCAGGGGAUCUUCGGACCUUGCGCGAUUGAAUGAGCCGAUGUCGGAUUAGCUAGUUGGCGGGGUAAAGGCCCACCAAGGCGACGAUCCGUAGCUGGUCUGAGAGGAUGAUCAGCCACACUGGAACUGAGACACGGUCCAGACUCCUACGGGAGGCAGCAGUGGGGAAUAUUGGACAAUGGGCGCAAGCCUGAUCCAGCCAUACCGCGUGGGUGAAGAAGGCCUUCGGGUUGUAAAGCCCUUUUGUUGGGAAAGAAAAGCAGCAGGUUAAUACCCCGCUGUUCUGACGGUACCCAAAGAAUAAGCACCGGCUAACUUCGUG
RNAcentral lists this ribosomal RNA (492 nucleotides) under uncultured bacterium. RNAcentral's name for it is "partial 16S ribosomal RNA". It matches the Rfam family "Bacterial small subunit ribosomal RNA", at positions 29 to 507 of the family's 1533-position model. The record is from RNAcentral.